GGGAGCGUUUGUACGACUGGUGUCGGCCCCGGUCUUCAAAAUCGGUGGGCGGCUGCGCAAGCAGCCGCUGGUGGGUUCGAUUCCCAUACGCUCCCGCCA
Molecule: transfer RNA, 99 nt
Filed under: Isosphaeraceae bacterium
Lineage: Bacteria; Pseudomonadati; Planctomycetota; Planctomycetia; Isosphaerales; Isosphaeraceae
Description: tRNA-Sec
Rfam family: Selenocysteine transfer RNA
Source: RNAcentral